This is a long non-coding RNA of Formica exsecta, 947 nucleotides long. RefSeq lists it as uncharacterized. NCBI's taxonomy places the organism in Eukaryota, Metazoa, Arthropoda, Insecta, Hymenoptera, Formicidae. The transcript has 5 exons. The record is from RefSeq and is a predicted model, not a curated record.
AAGCAGCAGGAUCGACGAAGAACCAGCAGUCUUCCUCAGUCUUUUGGAGGCUGUAAGGUUUGUUUUUAAAUUUCGCGAUUCAGGUAGAAAUCCGGUUGUACUUUAUUCGAUCUAUCUGAUUAACAAGUAUUAAAUACCGUACAGCUUCGAUAGCACGUACGUUAUCAAGACAAACUAAUCUUCGCAGCGACCGCGAAGACUUAUGUGUCCAUGAGGUGCAAGAUCUUAGAUUGUCAAGGCAAUUCCCCAACAUUUCUACCUAGUAUCAGAUUGGCCAAAAAUCUUGGCACACGCAAAGGAAGUCGACGAGGCAACACUGGAAAUCGACUUGAAUUAUUAGUCUUAGUUCAUUUACAUCACGUGCCAUAAACAAUAAAAACGAUCGACAACAAUUCUUACGGUGACCGAAUUUCCGAGUAAUACUUGAGACUAAAAUUCGUAAAAAAAAUGGUAGACACGGACAUAAGCGGAUCCGCGAUUAAAGGACGUUAUCAUGAAAUCAAAAAAGACAAGGAAGAACAUACAUCGUCGAGAGAACAACAACAACAAUAUCAGCAGCAAGCAUCAAGGAAGAAUGAUAAAUACGGUUCAUGGGGCUCGAUCUUUAAAAACAAGGACAACUUCGUCGACAUGCAUAUAUGCUAAUGUGCUUUUCAACAAAAUAUAUCCUUCACGUAUGAUGUCACGAUUAAUGAAUUCACGCGCGUUAAGCGCUUCUCUGAAACGAGAUGCAAGAUAUUUUUUGCGGAAGUAUUUGGAAUAAAAAUUAUCUCUCGACUGCUUCUUAUAAUAUGUUAAAUCUAAAGUAGCAUUUAUAAUCUCGCAGCAUUAUUUCUCAUUCGAUUAGUAGCGUAACUUCGAGCUAAUUUUCUAUCAGAGAAAAUAAUUUGACUUGUAUCUAAAAGUGAUAAAAUAUGAAGUAAAUAUAUCUAUAAGUUGCAAAUGCA